RNAcentral lists this ribosomal RNA (497 nucleotides) under uncultured bacterium. RNAcentral describes it as "partial 16S ribosomal RNA". It matches the Rfam family "Bacterial small subunit ribosomal RNA", at positions 28 to 507 of the family's 1533-position model. The record is from RNAcentral.
GAUGAACGCUGGCGGCGUGCCUAAUACAUGCAAGUCGAGCGAACAGACGAGGAGCUUGCUCCUCUGAUGUUAGCGGCGGACGGGUGAGUAACACGUGGAUAAUCUACCUAUAAGACUGGGAUAACUUCGGGAAACCGGAGCUAAUACCGGAUAACAUGUUGAACCGCAUGGUUCAACAGUGAAAGACGGUCUUGCUGUCACUUAUAGAUGGAUCCGCGCCGCAUUAGCUAGUUGGUAAGGUAACGGCUUACCAAGGCAACGAUGCGUAGCCGACCUGAGAGGGUGAUCGGCCACACUGGAACUGGGACACGGUCCAGACUCCUACGGGAGGCAGCAGUAGGGAAUCUUCCGCAAUGGGCGAAAGCCUGACGGAGCAACGCCGCGUGAGUGAAGAAGGUCUUCGGAUCGUAAAACUCUGUUAUUAGGGAAGAACAAAUGUGUAAGUAACUAUGCACGUCUUGACGGUACCUAAUCAGAAAGCCACGGCUAACUACGUG